Molecule: unclassified non-coding RNA, 388 nt
Filed under: Hevea brasiliensis (rubber tree)
Lineage: Eukaryota; Viridiplantae; Streptophyta; Magnoliopsida; Malpighiales; Euphorbiaceae
Source: RNAcentral
AGCCACAUAAAAAUGUUCAAGUGAAAUGUGAAAUUCAACAUAGAACAAAAUCAACAAAAAACUGGUAAAAUAGUUCAAGAUUUCUACCAGAAAUUGAAGAAAAAUAUCAAAGCUCAUUGGAGCUAUUGUACGCUGGAUCUGGAUUGUUUCCCAUUGAUAAGCCUCGAAACUUGAUGAUUUUUUUUAGAGCUAAUACCUCCUUGGUUCAUUCAUCUGCAAUGAAAAAAAAUGAAAUAAUAAAAAUGUGAAGGAAAAAUGGGAUGGGGGUUUUGUUUGGUGAGGUUGUUAGUGGAGGUUGUCGGUGGUUUGUGGAGGUGGGUUUGGAGGGAAGAGAGAAGAGGGAGUGGCUGGGAGGCGAACGGAAAGAGGGAGAGGGGCUGGCGGCUGA